CAGGGGAUAUUUUAAAUAAAAUGUAAGCUUUGGGAGUUUAUAAUGGGAACACUUUCCUCCCCUGA
Molecule: transfer RNA, 65 nt
Filed under: Pseudophoraspis kabakovi
Lineage: Eukaryota; Metazoa; Arthropoda; Insecta; Blattodea; Blaberidae
Description: tRNA-Pro
Source: RNAcentral